This 396-nucleotide ribosomal RNA is filed under the name Bacillus subtilis. RNAcentral's name for it is "bacterial SSU rRNA". It matches the Rfam family "Bacterial small subunit ribosomal RNA", at positions 996 to 1393 of the family's 1533-position model. Lineage: Bacteria; Bacillati; Bacillota; Bacilli; Caryophanales; Bacillaceae. The record is from RNAcentral.
AAUCCUAGAGAUAGGACGUCCCCUUCGGGGGCAGAGUGACAGGUGGUGCAUGGUUGUCGUCAGCUCGUGUCGUGAGAUGUUGGGUUAAGUCCCGCAACGAGCGCAACCCUUGAUCUUAGUUGCCAGCAUUCAGUUGGGCACUCUAAGGUGACUGCCGGUGACAAACCGGAGGAAGGUGGGGAUGACGUCAAAUCAUCAUGCCCCUUAUGACCUGGGCUACACACGUGCUACAAUGGACAGAACAAAGGGCAGCGAAACCGCGAGGUUAAGCCAAUCCCACAAAUCUGUUCUCAGUUCGGAUCGCAGUCUGCAACUCGACUGCGUGAAGCUGGAAUCGCUAGUAAUCGCGGAUCAGCAUGCCGCGGUGAAUACGUUCCCGGGCCUUGUACACACCGA